GGCUACGGUGGACGUGCUGGUCCUCCCGUCUCCGGGAGGGGUGAGAGGGAAUCCGGUGCGAAUCCGGGACUGCCCCGCAGCGGUGAGUGGGAACGACAUCGGCAUACGCACUGGGACGACCACCUGGGAAGCGCCGGUGAAGGACCCGUGGCCUCGCGCCACGGCAGGGCUGCCCGUCCUGAGCGCCCACGAGUCCGAAGACCUGCCAGUGCAUCGUGCGCCGC
This 224-nucleotide non-coding RNA is filed under the name Mobilicoccus pelagius. Lineage: Bacteria; Bacillati; Actinomycetota; Actinomycetes; Micrococcales; Dermatophilaceae. The record is from RNAcentral. RNAcentral also lists the same sequence under 1 other name.